Molecule: non-coding RNA, 748 nt
Organism: Kogia breviceps (pygmy sperm whale)
Lineage: Eukaryota; Metazoa; Chordata; Mammalia; Artiodactyla; Physeteridae
Source: RefSeq, a predicted model, not a curated record
CCUAGAAGAAUGACAUUGGCCUAAGUUGAAUUUGACGAGGUUGACUAUUAUGUGACCAAGAAGGACAUAAUAAAUCAUGACAUUUGAAGAACAUCCUGAGUUCAAAGGGCUGAGGAGCAUGAUGGCCUGUGGACUCAGUGUUGCAUAUUUUAAGUACGGCAGAGCCAGAGGAGGUGUGCUGAGUGACUGAAGAUCUCCGUGUUAGCCCCUGUGUUGAAGCUCUUUGUAACCACGGGCAAGGAGCCUUUAAGACUCACUGUUCUGCAGCUGGCGCUGUGAUUUCCUUCUCCUCAACAGGCUCUCUCCCAUCUUCCUCCACCCUGGAGACCUGCUGUGGCUCUCUCCGCUAUUACAGAAUUAAGACUGUCUGGGGAAUACUAGUUAAUUGCCCAGCAGCUAAUCAGAAUCGUAAAGGUCAGUGAUAACAGGCAACAGCUUACUCAUGUUCGUAAACAGCAGGAUGUGACAAAAGCAGUUUACCUUGAGAAAUCUACUGAGCUUAUGCUGUCUUGCUUGGGCCCUGUCUGUCCAUCUUCAUCUGCCUUUUCAGUUUCUGCUUCUGCCCCCUCUUUGGGUCUUGUUUCCAGGUAUUAUUCCAUGUUGCUGUUUGGUCCCCUUUGAAGGGGUUCUGCAUCCAGUUCCGGUUUGUGAGGUUUGUGCCACACCACUACCACUGUCCGACACUGGCCACGUGUCCUACCAUUCAACUCCAUCCUGACACCAUCCACCCGGAGACAGCAGCAGAUUC